AUACUGAGGGUGCAAGCGUUAAUCGGAAUUACUGGGCGUAAAGCGCACGUAGGCGGUUUAUUAAGUCAGAUGUGAAAGCCCUGGGCUUAACCUGGGAACUGCAUUUGAGACUGGUAGGCUAGAGUAUGGUAGAGGAUAGUGGAAUUCCGGGUGUAGCGGUGAAAUGCGUAGAUAUCCGGAGGAACAUCAGUGGCGAAGGCGGCUAUCUAGACCAAUACUGACGCUGAGGUGCGAAAGCGUGGGGAGCAAACAGGAUUAGAUACCCUAGUAGUCC
This 274-nucleotide ribosomal RNA is filed under the name uncultured bacterium. RNAcentral's name for it is "partial 16S ribosomal RNA". It matches the Rfam family "Bacterial small subunit ribosomal RNA", at positions 523 to 796 of the family's 1533-position model. The record is from RNAcentral.